Molecule: long non-coding RNA, 1091 nt
Organism: Drosophila sechellia
Lineage: Eukaryota; Metazoa; Arthropoda; Insecta; Diptera; Drosophilidae
Exons: 2
Source: RefSeq, a predicted model, not a curated record
AUACUGCGUGGUGGCGACGCUCUCGACGUUGAAAUUAACAUGAACCUACACACACACAUACACACUGCGUAAUCGCGACGUCCUCGUCUAGACUCGCUAUCUAGAACUAACGGGAUCAAAAGCACUGCUGCUUGCCCGUGCGUAUACAUUAAGAAUAAAGCUUUCAUCAUUCUUGAUCUUGACACCAAACCGAGCAGUUGAUUUAUUUAAAGUGGCAAAUAUAUAUAACCUACAUAUAUCAUAAGUACACAAUAAAGUCAUUAUUGACUCCCAUCACAUCAGCCUGGGCAGCAACUAACUAAGAGUAGAGAAAGGAGGACCCCCGAUCCAACGGAGGCACCCGUAACUGGCGCAGCCGGACUAGAACUAAAAGGAUUAACAACGCCUUUCACGUUCUUCGUUCCACUUCUGUAAACGGUCAAACAUUGGAGCCAACACUUACUUAGAAAGAAACAAACGGAUUCAUAUUAUAAAUACACACUACAUUUUAAGAUUAUCUAUAUAUAAGAUUACAAUUACUUAAUUACACCUUAUUAUUUAAGCUAAAACAUUAUUACACUAAACAUAUACACAACAUAUAGGUACACGUAUACAAAAGUAUAUAAGCACAAUAACACAUAUACCAUAUUUUUAAGUACAACACACAGACUACACAAAUCAAAAACACCUACAUGCCAAAGAGAAUUCCGUUUAAUACCCAAAGUAAAAGAAGACUUGGACUUAGAAGUGGAGGCAGCCUUCCUCAAAUUAGGGAACAAGUAGAACAAUCCACCAACAGCAACAACAUGGACUCGAAAAACUGCACCUGGAGGCAUUGGCAACAACCGGGAAAAUGGACUACAUAACUCAACAAUACUUUACCGCUACGUACCUUGCAUUGAGCAUAGUACUAAUACUUGUGAUCUGUCUCCGAACCUGUAAAAGGCAGAAAACGAUUUUUACCCAGCAACCCACCCACACACCUCACGUUGUCGAGUCGGCUAUCCCUUCGUUAUGGCCAUCUCUCCACACUAGGGGGGGAGGAGUUACCAUGCCCAGCAUUAACCCCCCUCAACAACCACCUCCGCCUAUGAAGCCCGCCCGGUAGGCGA